ACGCGCGGAACCUUACCAGGUCUUGACAUCCUCUGACACUCCUAGAGAUAGGACGUUCCCCUUCGGGGGACAGAGUGACAGGUGGUGCAUGGUUGUCGUCAGCUCGUGUCGUGAGAUGUUGGGUUAAGUCCCGCAACGAGCGCAACCCUUGAUCUUAGUUGCCAGCAUUAAGUUGGGCACUCUAAGGUGACUGCCGGUGACAAACCGGAGGAAGGUGGGGAUGACGUCAAAUCAUCAUGCCCCUUAUGACCUGGGCUACACACGUGCUACAAUGGAUGGUACAAAGGGCAGCAAAACCGCGAGGUCGAGCAAAUCCCAUAAAACCAUUCUCAGUUCGGAUUGUAGGCUGCAACUCGCCUACAUGAAGCUGGAAUCGCUAGUAAUCGCGGAUCAGCAUGCCGCGGUGAAUACGUUCCCGGGCCUUGCACUCACCGCCCGU
RNAcentral lists this ribosomal RNA (439 nucleotides) under uncultured bacterium. Its description in RNAcentral is "bacterial SSU rRNA". It matches the Rfam family "Bacterial small subunit ribosomal RNA", at positions 959 to 1397 of the family's 1533-position model. The record is from RNAcentral.